This 251-nucleotide long non-coding RNA is filed under the name Vigna radiata. Its description in RNAcentral is "long non-coding RNA (VRAD_LNC000994)". The record is from RNAcentral. Lineage: Eukaryota; Viridiplantae; Streptophyta; Magnoliopsida; Fabales; Fabaceae.
UGGGGAAAUUAAAAUUGAAAGAAUGAAACUAAAAAGAUAAAAUCUAAACUUUAUUUGAAUGAAAGAAUGAAGUAUGAAAUGGAAUAAAAGAAAAGAAAAUAAAAGUCUAUACUGCCUAAAACAGAAUUAAAAUCUAAUUACUAUGAAUACCUAAAACUGAGAUAGAAACAUACACUGUACAAUCUAAAUAGAAUUACAGAACAGAAAUAAAACCUAAAGUCUAAUAGAGUGCAUUAACAAUCAAGAAAUAC